This 1546-nucleotide long non-coding RNA is filed under the name Heterocephalus glaber (naked mole-rat). Its description in RNAcentral is "lncRNA (ENSHGLG00000047706.1)". The record is from RNAcentral. Lineage: Eukaryota; Metazoa; Chordata; Mammalia; Rodentia; Bathyergidae.
GCUGCCUGGAGCCAUGGAGCUGAUCCCGCCGGUGGACCUGGGCACCUGGAGGGCCUCUCCAGGAGAAGUGACUCAGGCUGUGAAGGUGGCCAUCGAUGCGGGCUACCGACGCUUCGACUGCGUACUUAUACCAGAACGAGAGUGACAUAGGAGAGGGAUCCAGUGCCAGCUCCUCAAGGGCGUUGUGAGACAAGAGGACCUGCUCGUUGUCAGCAAGCCAGGGCUUCUCUCCUCCUGGAAACGUCAACGUGCCUGUGGAUCGCAGUGGCAUGGUUGUACCCAGCGACACAGACGUCCUGGACACGGAGGCCCAAAGUACAUCAGUGGAGCCAGUGGACCAUGGACUAACACCUCUGAAACAAGGAGCCAAAAUAAACCUUCCCUCCCUUGGAUUGUUCAUCUCAGUGUCCACAUCUUGAGGAGACCCAUGAGGACGUCCACGUGCGGGUCCAGAGAGGUGGUGCUGUGAACCCACCCCUCAGGCUGACCUCAGGUCUAGGCCUCCGACUGAAAACCUCCUACUGAAGUCUAUGCGUGUGUAGGGAUUUGGGAACUGUCUGUGCAUGUUUUCCAGGAUCUAGUAAUUAACAGGGCACUCCUACUUCCCCAGCCCACUUUGCCACGCCCUGAUUUCCUAUGUCACUACAUCAAUUGCACUAUCAGCCAGAUGUUUAGGCCCUUGUCAAAAUGAAUGUUCUAAGCCCAGAAACACAAAAACAGAUCAAAGGAGAAAAGAGAAAAGAAAAGUAAGAAAAACUAAUUGUGUGUCUGUGAAAUCCAAAUAGCCUAAGUCCAUAAGCCCAAAAGAGUUCAAACAACAUGGUUUGUAUGCAUUCAAGCACCAUAUGUAUGGUACAAGGGUCAAUAAAUUUGUGCUAAAUUAGUGCUUGUAUAAUAAAUCCAGCUCGCUGUCUUUUGCAAAUAACAUUUUGACGAUGCAAGCUCCUGUUUUUCUCUAGGUUCUACCACUGAGAUUUAACCCCACCUCCUGUAUGUAAAGUUUUGUUUGAAUGUGGCCACAUCCAUUUGUCAGCAGCCUGGGUCUGAGGGUGCUUGAGGCUGACAUAAGGAACUUAACCCACCCUUUUAAAAUAAGUAUGCAGUUUUGCCUUUUCACCAAAAAAGGAUUUUUAGGAUGCAUCAGUGAAAGAGGCCUGAAAAGGAUUUAUUAGAGGAUGCGCUAGAGGGCAGUGUUGGUGCUCAGAGAAAUGAAGUAAGCUUCAGCUGGGAACUGGGGAUCCUUCAUGGGUUUGGCAGGUGGAAAUCUGUGGAAUUUGAUAAUCUUUAGUCUUAGUCCUGGAGGGACAGGAUGUGACACCACUAGUGAAGUCAUGGUCUAUUCCUAGGGGAAAUCCCAAAAGGGAGGUCCAUUCACAGGUGAAAGAGGACCAUUUGCAAGUGAGAGGGAAGGGCAGACCCCUCUGCAGAAGAGAGGGACUUCCCCAUGUUUACUGUUUCAGGAGAAGGAAAAAAGUCAACAAACCAGGCUAGUGUUCUGGAGCUGCAGUUUUUCUUUAAAGUACCAUUUUUAAAAUUCUAUUUCCUU